Molecule: ribosomal RNA, 472 nt
Filed under: Acanthamoeba sp. EGM25
Lineage: Eukaryota; Discosea; Longamoebia; Acanthamoebidae
Description: SSU rRNA
Rfam family: Eukaryotic small subunit ribosomal RNA
Source: RNAcentral
CCAAUAGGGAGGUUAGCAGCAGAUCCAAUUUUCUGCCCCGAAUACAUUAGCAUGGGAUAAUGGAAUAGGACCCUGUCCUCCUAUUUUCAGUUGGUUUUGGCAGCGCGAGGACUAGGGUAAUGAUUAAUAGGGAUAGUUGGGGGCAUUAAUAUUUAAUUGUCAGAGGUGAAAUUCUUGGAUUUAUGAAAGAUUAACUUCUGCGAAAGCAUCUGCCAAGGAUGUUUUCAUUAAUCAAGAACGAAAGUUAGGGGAUCGAAGACGAUCAGAUACCGUCGUAGUCUUAACCAUAAACGAUGCCGACCAGCGAUUAGGAGACGUUGAAUACAAAACACCACCAUCGGUUGCGGUCGUCCUUGGCGUCUCGGUUUCGGCCGGGGCGCGGGGACGGUUUAGCCCGGUGGCACCGGUGAAUGACUCCCCUAGCAGCUUGUGAGAAAUUAAUGGGUUAUUAAGUUCAUCUAAUAAGUAAAGU